CCUACGGGUGGCUGCAGUCGAGAAUCAUUCACAAUGGGGGAAACCCUGAUGGUGCGACGCCGCGUGGGGGAAUGAAGGUCUUCGGAUUAUAAACCCUUGACAUGUGGGAGCAAAUUAAAAAGGUAGUACCACAAGAGGAAGAGACGGCUAACUCUGUGCCAGCAGCCGCGGUAAUACAGAGGUCUCAAGCGUUGUUCGGAAUGACUGGGCGUAAAGCGUGCGUAGGCUGUUUCGUAAGUCGUGUGUGAAAGGCGCCGGCUCAACCCGGGGACGGCAGCUGAUACUGUGAGACUGGAGUAAGGGAGGGGGAAGCGGAAUUCUUGGUGUAGGAGUGAAAUGCGUAGAUAUCGGGAGGAACACUCGUGGCGAAGGCGGCUGCCUGGACAUUAACUGACGCUGAGGCACGAAGGCCUGGGGAGCGAAAGGGAUUAGAUACCCGUGUAGUC
Molecule: ribosomal RNA, 446 nt
Filed under: uncultured bacterium
Lineage: Bacteria
Description: partial 16S ribosomal RNA
Rfam family: Bacterial small subunit ribosomal RNA
Source: RNAcentral